RNAcentral lists this ribosomal RNA (859 nucleotides) under Gyromitra venenata. RNAcentral describes it as "partial large subunit ribosomal RNA". It matches the Rfam family "Eukaryotic large subunit ribosomal RNA", at positions 69 to 941 of the family's 3401-position model. The record is from RNAcentral. Lineage: Eukaryota; Fungi; Ascomycota; Pezizomycetes; Pezizales; Discinaceae.
CAGGGAUUGCCUCAGUAACGGCGAGUGAAGCGGCAACAGCUCAAAUUUUAAAGCUGACGUCUUUGGCGUCCGCGUUGUAAUUUGGAGAGGCAUCUUCGGUUUGGGCGCCAGCCUAUGUUCCUUGGAACAGGACGUCACAGAGGGUGAGAAUCCCGUGCCUGGCUGGCUGUCCCUCUCCAUGUGAAGUGCCUUCGACGAGUCGAGUUGUUUGGGAAUGCAGCUCAAAAUGGGUGGUAAAUUUCAUCUAAAGCUAAAUAUUGGCGGGAGACCGAUAGCGCACAAGUAGAGUGAUCGAAAGAUGAAAAGCACUUUGAAAAUAGAGUUAAAAAGUACGUGAAAUUGUUGAAAGGGAAGCGCUUGAGACCAGACUCGGCCGGAGAUGAUCAGCCGUCCUUCUGGGCGGUGCACUCGUUUCCGGCCGGGCCAGCAUCGGUUGAGACGGCGGGAUAAAGGCCCGGGGAAUGUGGCUCCUUUCGGGGAGUGUUAUAGCCCCGGGCGCAAUGCCGCCAGCCUCGACCGAGGACCGCGCUUCAUUGCUAGGAUGCUGGCGUAAUGGUCUUCAGCGACCCGUCUUGAAACACGGACCAAGGAGUCUAACAUCUAUGCGAGUGUUUGGGUGUCAAACCCUUGCGCGUAAUGAAAGUGAACGGAGGUGGGAACCCCUCGCGGGGCGCACCAUCGACCGGUCCUGAUGUCUUCGGAUGGAUCUGAGUAGGAGCAUAGCUGUUGGGACCCGAAAGAUGGUGAACUAUGCCUGAAUAGGGUGAAGCCAGAGGAAACUCUGGUGGAGGCUCGCAGCGGUUCUGACGUGCAAAUCGAUCGUCAAAUUUGGGUAUAGGGGCGAAAGACUAAUCGAACC